This 423-nucleotide ribosomal RNA is filed under the name uncultured bacterium. RNAcentral's name for it is "bacterial SSU rRNA". It matches the Rfam family "Bacterial small subunit ribosomal RNA", at positions 207 to 622 of the family's 1533-position model. The record is from RNAcentral.
AAGACCUUGCGCUUUUGGAGUGGCCGAUGCCUGAUUAGCUUGUUGGUAAGGUAAAAGCUUACCAAGGCUUCGGUCAGUAGCUGGUCUGAGAGGACGACCAGCCACACUGGGACUGAGACACGGCCCAGACUCCUACGGGAGGCAGCAGUGGGGAAUUUUGGACAAUGGGGGCAACCCUGAUCCAGCCAUGCCGCGUGAGUGAAGAAGGCCUUCGGGUUGUAAAGCUCUUUCAGCCGGAACGAAACGGUUACGGAUAACACCCGUGACUACUGACGGUACCGGAAGAAGAAGCACCGGCUAACUACGUGCCAGCAGCCGCGGUAAUACGUAGGGUGCGAGCGUUAAUCGGAAUUACUGGGCGUAAAGCGUGCGCAGGUGGUUUUGUAAGUCAGAUGUGAAAGCCCCGGGCUCAACCUGGGAACU